AGUAACUAAGAUACUAAGAUUAGAUCAAGCGCCUCGAGAUCACUUUAUCCAACAAAAAUGACCUUUAAGCGUCAUAUUGAUAAUUCCCGUGCGGUGGAAACAAGGAAUUUCGAACUGUAUAUUCGGGCAUCGUAUAUUCGGGCACGUCUCAGAAUUGCUUCAAACGGCAUCGUGAUCGGAUCAGAACGUGUUAUCUUCUUUCAAGCUAGAAGAAAUAUAUAUGAGCUUUGUACAUGUACAUAUAAAAACGUCCCUUUACUGUGUUAAUUUCUUCAACAGAAAAGCGACUAAAAGUUUGAGGCUUAUUAGUGACGCAUAUAUUUUAUAUAAAAAUGAUUCUUCAAAACUUGUACGAUGUACGACAAACUAUGAUCCACCUACAUACAUUUAGCCGCAGCUUGUUACGUAUGAUUAGAAGUAUAGAAAUGGGAGAGGAUUUACAAUAUAAUUACGUUAUAUUCGGUAUACCGACUCAAAUUUUUAUUACGCUUAUACGAGGUCGUUAUAUAGAUGUUGAAAAGCUUAAAAAUUUACUGAUACGGUUAAUACAAAAAGUUAGUGCAUUGCAGACAAAACUCAAUCAGCUGAAUGAUGGAUGAGAAAAAGAAGACAAAUAGGAAGGAUUCUGACAAAUGAACAAAGAAAUAUGGAAUGAAUAAUUCGUAAAAAUAUAUAUAUCCUAAAUAAAUUGUAAAUUAAAUAUGUAAAGUCGAUAUAUUACGUUACAUUAAUUCUAACGCGAUAUGUGUGUUACAUGAUCAAACUCUAUGCCGUACUUUAUGUUCAUCAAUAAAAUUUCGAUUCAACAGA
Molecule: long non-coding RNA, 810 nt
Organism: Wasmannia auropunctata (little fire ant)
Lineage: Eukaryota; Metazoa; Arthropoda; Insecta; Hymenoptera; Formicidae
Exons: 4
Source: RefSeq, a predicted model, not a curated record